AUUCACAUGACGAAUCCCAAAUAAAACGAAACGCGCGUUCUGGAU
This 45-nucleotide non-coding RNA is filed under the name Schistosoma haematobium. The record is from RNAcentral. Lineage: Eukaryota; Metazoa; Platyhelminthes; Trematoda; Strigeidida; Schistosomatidae.